UGUCCUUUCUAAUAUACAAUAAACAUGCCAUUUCUAGUAUACAAUAAUUUAUACAGUAAGUUUAAUAUAACCAAUUUUCCAAUUUUAACAAUCAUGAUCUAUCCUCAUGUAUAUGAAAACCUAAGAUAAAUCUUUUUUUUUAAAUUAAGGAAAUUUUUAGAAAAUCAUUACUUUAACCAACUUCAAUCUCUACCACUGCAUUUGGAACAAAUAAUAUUUAGUCAGAUGGAAUGCCUCUCAAAUAUUUAAAAGAACGGAGUCUCGCUCUGUCACCCAGGCUGGAAUACAGUGACGCGAUCUCUGCCCACUGCAAGCUCUGCCUAAGAAGGUUAAGUAAAGAGAAUAUCUGGCCACUUUCCUCAGUGUAUCUCAGUAAAUACUAUGUUAUUUAGCUCUUCUAUCAGCAGAUAUGUAAGCUGUUUAUUGCAUCAGUAAUUUUCAAAGAAAAUGAAUGUAAAGUAAACAGAGCAACAGAGGCCUGUGAAAAAACUAGAAAGAAAACAGCCACAUGGCAAGAGAAGAAGGAAUGGAAGAAGGCUCUGGGAGGUGUUGAAUUUGUUUGAGUUCUUUCUCCUAGAAGACAGAAGCAGGUGCAAUAGAACACAAAUAUAAAAAGGGAAGCCAAGGUUCCUGCCUGGGUCAUAAAAAAUACUGGAUACAAAAGAUUUUAGAAGAAGAAGGAGAAAACAAAUUCAGGGGCAAGACACCAGAACCAUUGGAAAGACCGAUGGAGAGUUACGUGAAGAGCUUCCAGAAAAUAAGGCAUAUACAAGUGCUAGUAUUCCAGUCUUACACACAGAUGCAUAGAUAAAUAAAUAACAUCACACAUUUGCUAAUAAAUAGCACAGAUGACUUUUUAGAUGUAUCUCUAGAUGUAACGAUUCUUAGAAGCUUCAUACCCAAAUUUCCAGAUAUCUUCAACAGUCUAAAGUAGAACUCUUUACCAGCUCCAUCAAGACAAUUCUUUAUCUAGCUCUAUCUCAAUUGAUAUCUUUACAUCUCCCCAAGCAACGUGAGCUCAAGACUUUUAAUUCCUUUUUGUUAAGCGUUCUAUAUUGACACUUAAUUCUGCAAGUGCUCUUCCUCAGUGUCUCAUACGUAAUUCUAUUUAUUUGCUGCUACUGGUAUAACAAUUACAUUAUUGUAAUUGUUUCCUAACUGGUCUCCCAAACUCCAGUUAUUCAACUUUUCUCUUUUCUCUAAAGUAAAACCACCCACCUCUCACCACAAAAUAAUUCAACUCAUUAUAUGCCCAGUGCAGUAGUCCAAUGAUACUUAAUGCCUGGAGGCGGAGAACCAAAUUUCUUAACCUUAUUUUUAAAACCCUAUACCUUUCAUAUUUGCCAUUUCAUCUCCCCUACUUUUCCCUUCAUAACAAUGUGUUUCAUGCUUGUAGUAUAGUGCUGUCUUAGCUUGUCUCAUAUUAAAGCUAUCCAUAAUUGCUUCAAUUGGUCAUGUGAGACUGGAAAUGCAGAGAGAGCCAGGACAAUGCUUUCCUUGCCUUUGCUUAAUUCAAAAUGCUUUUCAGGAUGUUUUAUAUACAGUAGAAUAUAGCAGUGACUGCCACUUGUAUAUCCAUAUCAAUUCUCCCUUAUCAAAGCUCACCAGUCAAAGUCUAUACAGAACUCAAAUGUGGUCAAACAAGGAAGAGCAGGGUCUCUUAGUAACAGGAAGUUGGAAGAGGCUUAUUAUAGGAUUUAGACUUGUGCUGUGUGGCUAUAGAGGCUAGAGAAAGGAAGGCUAGCUUUGAAUUGAAUAAUGUCCAGAAGUAAGAGCAAUUCAGUAACAUAGUUGCCAGGUAUCAUAAUCUUUGUUCAGGACACUGGAGGAACAAAAUCAUGCUAGGGAUAUAUCAUUGGUAAUAAAACAGCAACAUACUCAAAAGUCAAUUUUUGCAGCUACAAUAUGGCCUUGUUAAAAACAUGGUUUAUUAUAAUCUAACCAUUAACAGCUAAUUUUUCAUUUUCUCUCUUUUCUUUCUUUUAGUGAUAGAACCACCUAAAUUUAAUAGGGUAUGUGGCUGUCCAGACUAUGCUAUUAAACCCUUCAUGUUGCUAAUUUUGUGUAUGUAGCUAAAUUCUAGUCAAUGGGAUGAAACCUGAUUUCAUGCUUGUGACUUCCAUAGUACAUUUUUUUUUAAAAAAAGAAACAGCUUUCUCUCAUUCAUCCUUUACUUCAUUCUAUGAACCAAACACAUAUGUAUUUCUGUAGGUCAGCUUUGACUAUGUAUUUCCUUGGAGAUAGUGGAGUAAAAAGUUAGAAGGCUCAUAAGAUUCCAUGACAACUUUGUGGAACAUAGCUACCUGUCUACCCUAGAUCGUUCACCUUCUUCUGAAUAGUAAAUGAAAAAGAAAUAAUCUAUCUUCCUUUACCCAGUGAACAUUUGAAUCUUUUCAUUAGAGUAGCUUGUUUCAUACUCAUUUAAUAACAUAUGACAAGAUAUUGGCCAUUGAAUUAUGAAUUAUAAUAAUAAAAUGUUAAGUACCUCUACUAUGGAUCUAGAAGUUCUUAGUUGGAUUAUGUGCAUUAUCUAUUACCUUCUUUGGCCUUCCAUUAUGUAACUUGCCAAGUAUUUUUAUGAAUCAGGAAACUAUUUGCAUAGAUACACUGAAUAAACAUGUAAGACU
This 2627-nucleotide long non-coding RNA is filed under the name Homo sapiens (human). RNAcentral describes it as "HSALNT0315918". Lineage: Eukaryota; Metazoa; Chordata; Mammalia; Primates; Hominidae. The record is from RNAcentral.